AAGCCUUUCCGUAGGUGAACCUGCGCAAGGAUCAUUACAGAAUCGAACGCGGGUCGGGCUGAUUGCUGGCUCCUCGGAGCAGGUGCACGCCCUCCCCGACGCCUUCCAUUCUCCACGUCCCCACCUGUGCACCUUCUGUAGGCCGUGAAGCCGCCUCGUUCGGCUCCCUCGGCUCUACGAGAUCUUUUGUACACCCUUGAGAAAAACGUGUUGCAGAGUGUUCUUGUACGACCGGGGACCCCUCGUCGGCCCCAUAGACAUACCAAUACAACUUUCAACAACGGAUCUCUUGGCUCUCGCAUCGAUGAAGAACGCAGCGAAAUGCGAUAAGUAAUGUGAAUUGCAGAAUUCAGUGAAUCAUCGAAUCUUUGAACGCACCUUGCGCUCUUUGGCCAUUCCGAAGAGCAUGCCUGUUUGAGUGUCAUCGAAUCCUCAAGCCCAGCCCGGCUUCUCCCCGGGCUUUUGGGGGCUUGGAGUUGGGAGCUGUGCGGGUCGCUAGCCUUCGCGAUCCGCUCUCCUCAAAGGCAUCAGCAGGGCCCAGUCGCAGUCGGCCUCGUGGCGUUGAUAGUCCAUCUACGCCCCCCCGCGGCCGCACUCAGCGUGGCUCGGCUUCGAACCGUCCGGCCCCUCGAGCCGGACAGGCCGACACACCCCGGCCUCACCCCUUGACACCCUUGACCUCAAAUCAGGUAGGACUACCCGCUGAACUUAAGCAUAUCAAUAAGCCGGGGGAAAA
Molecule: ribosomal RNA, 736 nt
Filed under: Volvariella volvacea
Lineage: Eukaryota; Fungi; Basidiomycota; Agaricomycetes; Agaricales; Pluteaceae
Description: eukaryotic LSU rRNA
Rfam family: 5.8S ribosomal RNA (bases 270-424)
Source: RNAcentral